GAUGAACGCUAGCUACAGGCUUAACACAUGCAAGUCGAGGGGUAACGAGAGGAAAGCUUGCUUUCCUUGUCGACGACCGGCGCACGGGUGAGUAACGCGUAUCCAACCUGCCCCCAACUAAGGAAUAACCUUGCGAAAGUAAGACUAAUACCUUAUAAUUUCCUCAGAUGUCAUCUGACGAGGAAUAAAGAUUUAUCGGUUGUGGAUGGGGAUGCGUCUGAUUAGCUUGUUGUCGGGGUAACGGCCCACCAAGGCAACGAUCAGUAGGGGUUCUGGGAGGAAGGUACCCCACAAUGGAACUGAGACACGGUCCAAACUCAAACGGGAGGAAACAGUGAGGAAUAUUGGUCAAUGGGCGAAAGCCUGAACCAGCCAAGUAGCGUGCAGGAUGACGGCCCUAUGGGUUGUAAACUGCUUUUAUACAGGAAUAAAGUUAGCCACGUGUGGUUAUUUGUAGGUACUGUAUGAAUAGGGACCGGCUAAUUCCGUGCCAGCCGCCGCCGUAA
Molecule: ribosomal RNA, 506 nt
Filed under: uncultured bacterium
Lineage: Bacteria
Description: partial 16S ribosomal RNA
Rfam family: Bacterial small subunit ribosomal RNA
Source: RNAcentral